UACGGGGGGAGCAAGCGUUGUUCGGAUUUACUGGGCGUAAAGGGCGCGUAGGCGGCCACCGCAAGUCGGUUGUGAAAUCUCUGGGCUUAACCCAGAAAGGUCAAUCGAUACUGCGGGGCUAGAGUGCAGAAGGGGCAACUGGAAUUCUCGGUGUAGCGGUGAAAUGCGUAGAGAUCAGGAAGAACAUCGGUGGCGAAGGCGCUCUGCUGGACCAUAACUGACACUCAGGGACGAAAGCUAGGGGAGCGAAUGGG
Molecule: ribosomal RNA, 254 nt
Filed under: uncultured bacterium
Lineage: Bacteria
Description: partial 16S ribosomal RNA
Rfam family: Bacterial small subunit ribosomal RNA
Source: RNAcentral